AUGGACGGCGGUGACCACGGGCACCGGUGCAGGUGUCCCCAUGGACCCCGGUGCACCCGCGGACCGCGCCAUGGAGGCCUCGCGGCGGCGGCCCUGGACCCCCGUGUGCGGGCCUUCCCCAUGGACGCCGCGACGCAGGCCAUGUACCGGGAGCACGGCAUGGACCCGGUCACCCUCGAGUCCGACGUGACCACCGCCAUGACCUUCCUCCACUAUGUCCUCCCCAAGCCCUUCGUCUCCAACCGCGCCGCCCUCUCCGCCGCCUUUCUCCCGCCACAGGACGACGACGGCGGCGUCGACCGCAUCAGCGGCCUCCCUGAGGAGCUCCUCCGCAACAUCGUCUCCCGCCUCCCCGCCAAGGACGGCGUGCGCACCGCCGCGCUCUCCUGCCGCUGGCGCCGGGUCUGGCUCUCCACCCCGCUCGUCCUCGUCGACGCCGACCUCCUCCCCGCCGGAUGCGGCUCCAGCCUGCGGGUCGAGCGCGCCCACGCGCAGCGCGUCGAGUCCGCCAUCACCCGCAUCCUCGACGCGCACCCGGGGCCCUUCCGCUUCGUCCACCUCAUCUCAUGCCACAUGCAGGAGACCCCCGGCCUGCUCGCGCGCUGGCUCCAGCUCCUCGCCGUCAAGGGCGUCCGGGAGCUCAUGCUCGUCAACCGCCCGUGGCCGCUCGACAUGGCCCUCCCCGCCACCUUCUUCGGCAUGGCCACCCUCACCCGCCUCUACCUUGGCACCCUUGCCUUCCCUAACACGGCCGACCUCCCGCGCGGAGUGUCGUUCCCACACCUCCGCGAGCUGGGCCUCUUGGGCAUGGCCAUUGUGAACCGGGACAUGGACUUCGUCCUCGCCAGGAGCCCUGUGCUGGAGAUCCUCUGCAUCCAGGCCAACGUUCUGCUCAAGUGGCUCACCCUCGUCAGCCGCAGCCUCCGGUGCGUGCAGAUCAUAGAAGGCAUCGAUCUGAAUAUCGUCGUCAAGAACGCCCCUAACCUUGAGAGGGUCAUCAUCUGGACAUCAUCGGCCCGCGAUGGCCUGCACAGGAUGGUCAAGAUUGGCCAUGCCCCUGCGCUGAGCUUACUUGGCUACUUGGAGCCGGCACGACACCUGCUAGCGAUCGGCAACACCAUCAUCAAGGCUGGGACGAAGGCAAGCCCAAGCACCACGGUCCCGAGCGUUAAGAUCCUCAGCUUAAGAGUGUGCUUUGGUGUCCGCAACGAUGCUAAGAUGCUGCCGAGCUUCCUCAGAUGCUUCCCCAACGUCGAGAGGCUACAUCUCGAGUCCAAUGAGACUGAUGAGCCCACAGGCAAGCUCAACAUCAAGUUCUGGCACGAGGCCGGUGCCAUCGAGUGCAUCCAGUCACACCUGAAGCUGAUGGUCUUCUACGCCUUCCGAGGGGAGCGGGGCGAGCUCUCCUUCCUCAAGUUCGUCCUGGAGAGCGCUCGGAUGCUGACGAAGCUGGUGAUUGUGUUCUGCAAAGGGAGCUUCGCUUCGAUGGCCGAGGCCAACUCCAAAGUGAAACCUCUGUUCGACGCAAGAUGGGCCAGCCGAGACUGUUCGCUGGUGCUCUUCGAGAGUCCACUCGAAAAGGGAGAUGACAAGUGGGUGCUGAACUUCGAGAGAGGAUCUGAUUUCUCCACCACGGACCCGUUCGCGUGCACUGCUGCCCUUGAGGGCUGCGUCGUCUGA
RNAcentral lists this ribosomal RNA (1680 nucleotides) under Triticum aestivum (bread wheat). RNAcentral describes it as "partial small subunit ribosomal RNA". The record is from RNAcentral. Lineage: Eukaryota; Viridiplantae; Streptophyta; Magnoliopsida; Poales; Poaceae.